Galleria mellonella (greater wax moth) is the source of this 911-nucleotide long non-coding RNA. RefSeq lists it as uncharacterized. The record is from RefSeq and is a predicted model, not a curated record. NCBI's taxonomy places the organism in Eukaryota, Metazoa, Arthropoda, Insecta, Lepidoptera, Pyralidae. The transcript has 3 exons.
AUCAGUUUGAUUGAUUAAUUAAUCACGUACUAAAUUGUACUUUGAAAUUUAUACAUAAAAGAAGUUGGUAGAAAAACGUUAAAAAAUUUUGACACGGCGUGUCCAAACUGUUGAAGGUGGAGGGCUGUGAUUCUCAUUGAUCCACAUUCCUUGAGGGCACGAUAAAGGAUCGCAAAACAAGUGUUUUGCGUCCAAGUGGACGAAAACGCACUUCCUGACUAAAAAAUCUUAGAUACUGGCAAGGGAUGAACACAAGAUCACUUCUCCGGCGGCAGUCUAUAAAGUUAUGAUAGCUUUGUUGAUAAUCGGCAACUGAUAGAAGAUGGUACAGCAAUCAAGAGAAAAAAGUUCAAGAUUUCUUCAGCAUUUUCUGAUUAGAAAUUAUUUGGUGACAGAAAGGCAAGUGAUGACUAAUAUUUCCAUUUGCUCAAUAGUGCAGCAGUACAGCCCAGGCUUAGACUCAGGUCAAGACAUUCUACAAAUCUUGUUGCUACCUUGUUAAUAAACCCAGGCCAACUACAAACCAACACAAAAUGCCAAAAUGUUGUAUCUGUGUGUCGUAACUUAUCAUCCCUGGCGGAUACGGGAUGCAGUUUCGUGAUAAUUAUAGAAAACAAUACAACAAUGUGUAUUUCUGAGAAUAAUAACACUACCAUAUAAUAUAAACUACCCACAUAAAGCACAGGACCAUACAAAGUGGAGUUUUAGAGAGGUAUAAGUCCAAUAUUGGACUAUUGUGGACAACAACGCAGAGACAAAUAAUAUAACAUGCAGAACAGUGUUGGCAGUAUUGUGUUAUAAAAUAAACAAUUAAGUGGAGAUUAGACCGAAUGAGGUCAAUUCCUUUAUUAGUGUCGUUAAAAACAAGUUUGACCCCAAUGAUUAUGUAGGAAUAAACGUAAAUUUUCAUA